AUGGCAGAGAAGUUCCUCCUUCACAUUCUGCAAAAACUUCCAUUUGGCCGAUGUGGAUUCUUUGCUGGGCCGAUUCUGGGCCCCGGGCCUUAUGUUUGACACUCCUGCACUCAACCGUUUACAGGCUCUGGUUGUUUGAGGCUGUUUGAGGCUCAGUUAUAGACGAUGAUGCUUGAAUUCAAACAGGCAGACAACAUGAAAGAUGAGGAAAUCCCUGAGCACUGUGCAGAGGACUCUGAGGAUCCUCAGCCGUCACUGUGACACGUGGCUAUCCAGCAGAGAAGAAGCUCAUCCCAGUUCACUGACAGAGACAAAGUUUUGGUGCUGUGAUAACGACUCUGAGCCGAUGACUCACUCUGAUAACUCUGAUAACAUCUCCCUCCAAGUAAUAACCUCCCAGCAGCAACUGCCACAGGCAAAUGGGCAUGAGGCAGGAUAGUUUCACUUCCUGCAGUUACAGUGAAACAGUCUUUGUAAUUCACAUCUGUGUGACUCGUUUAAGUUUUUUGUCCUGACAGUGAAACUCUUACAGAUACACAUGUGAUGCUGCUGCACAUGUUAGUAAAUCUGUCUCUAAAUCUUCUUUAAAAUUUCAGCCUUUGUAGUGAACACAUGUUUCUCAAACACCAGGGUCAGAACACACUGUGGAAAAGUAAGAUGCACAUUUUGUAGUCCAUCUUCUGGUCAUUGUCGUUUUUACCCUGUGGAUAUCCAGCAUCACGUUGUUAAUGAGAGAGAGUGUAAGCUCAUUCUCAGCACACGGCUCUGUUACUUUCCUAACUCCUUAUCAGUUCCCCUAGCAACCUUUCCUUCACUGGACUUUCGGACUGUUUAUUAAAAAAGGUUGAAGGUUUGAUUAUAGCUGUUCAAACUGAUUUCCUGUUCCUUGUAUAUUUGUCACACUUACAUGUUUCAGAUCAGGAACAUGUAGGUUUGGAUUUGUUCCCUUAAUAACAAACUCCUCCAUUUACAAACUUCAGUUUGUAUUUUCUUUGUCUAAUAUUUUAAUGUGUUUGAUCUGAAACAUUUAAGUGUGACAAACAUACAAAAACCAGGAAACCAGGAAGUAAACAAACACUGUUUCACCUCUGUAUGUGUUUGUUUCCAUCUUAUGUUCUAUUAUGUUGUUUGUUUGAAACUUGUGAUCAGUAUUUUAAAGCUGUUAAACUGAAAUCAAACACAUAAACUACAAACUGGUCAGACAUUAGAAAGGAAUUGUUCCUCUGAGUAUUUAAACCUGCUGUUGUGUUGCUUUUGUGCGCUGGUGUCACUGAUGGCUGCUGCUGCUGUGACAACAGACACACAAAUAGUUUGAUGUCAUCAGAUAUCACUCUGGAUACACUGAGAGAAAAGCUGAUUUACUUUAACACUCCAACACUGUUAUUAUGUCCUACAGUCUGAGUGUGUAACAGCACUGCCCCCGUGUGGUCAAACUGGGGCAUUGCACAUGAUAAUUCUAAUCCACCAACAUUUUUAGACCUCCACACACAUCUGACCCUGAUUCAGUGGAGACUUUAGAAACUUCCAUGUUUCUAUAGAAACUUCAGUGUUUCCAAAGUCUAUUUCCUUUCUUAUGAUAAUUUUAAUUACUAUUAUUUGUUUUUGUUAUUUUAUGUGUCAUAAUCUUUUAUUUUGUAGUUGUUUCAAAAUGUUUUUUCUUUGUAUCUGUACUUUGUAAACUAAUGAGGGAUCAAAAAUGCUGUAAAAAUGAAUAAAAAGCUCAAACAUAGACCCUCCUGUAUGUACUCAGGUCUGUAAA
Long non-coding RNA from Oreochromis niloticus (Nile tilapia), 1759 nucleotides. RefSeq lists it as uncharacterized. The record is from RefSeq and is a predicted model, not a curated record. The transcript is spliced from 3 exons. Lineage: Eukaryota; Metazoa; Chordata; Actinopteri; Cichliformes; Cichlidae.